This 661-nucleotide long non-coding RNA is filed under the name Anser cygnoides (Swan goose). RNAcentral's name for it is "lncRNA (ENSACDG00005006472.1)". The record is from RNAcentral. Lineage: Eukaryota; Metazoa; Chordata; Aves; Anseriformes; Anatidae.
GUCAGUGUGUCAUUGUGAAAGUGUGUCCAUGCCAGAUCGCUGAAGGAUGCCCCAGUGUAUGGAGUGCCCUGUAUAUGAGUGCUGUUUUUACAGUCAGACAAGUGACCUUGGCCGGAGCGGUGUGUGUGCAUCACAAAUGGGAGGCUGGCAGCUUUUGUCUGAUAUUCUGUGACUUCAGCAUCCAGAUGUUUCAUAUCAUGUAUUUCUUUACUGGUACUGAGUUCUCUUGGAGAUUCUUAUGAAGCAAAGACACAAUCCUCUUCCUGUUCCUGUUUCAGAAGACUCUGCAGGACAUCCAUUGUACCAUAAUAAUGUGACAGUCAUUAUAAACGCAGCUGGUAUCAUGCACUGGCACAUCACCCCAUUUCUUGUGAGUGACCCACACCUUCCAUUCAAGCGCCCAGAUAACUGCCCAGGUUUCCAAGAGACCUCCAUUUCCAACAGGACUUGCGGCACCAUGGAAGCAUUAUCAGAAAGCUCUCUGGAGAGCUUGGACUUGCAUCCAGCCCCAGUUUCCGUCCAGGAGCACGCAGCAGCUGCAAAAGAGCAGCCUCCUCUCCACUGCCACUGCACGGCUAAGAAGCUGAAUUUCUGUCCCUGCCUGUCCCCAAGGAAAAGAAGGCUGCGAGGUCUCUUAAGGAAUCUGCUCCUAUGUAUUUAG